This 468-nucleotide ribosomal RNA is filed under the name uncultured bacterium. RNAcentral describes it as "partial 16S ribosomal RNA". It matches the Rfam family "Bacterial small subunit ribosomal RNA", at positions 28 to 507 of the family's 1533-position model. The record is from RNAcentral.
GACGAACGCUGGCGGCGUGCUUAACACAUGCAAGUCGAACGGAAAGGCCCUGCUUUUGUGGGUUGCUCGGGGGGCGAACGGGUGAGUAACACGUGAGUAACCUGUCCUUGACUUUGGGAUAGCAUCAGGAAACUGGGGUUAAUACUGGAUAGGAGCUCCCCCUGCGUGGUGGGGGUUGGAACGUUUCGGCGGUUGGGGAUGGACUCGCGGGUUAUCAGUUUGUUGGUGGGGGAGUGGUUUACCAAGGCUUUGACGGGUCGCCGGCCUGAGUGGGUGACCGGCGACAUUGGGACUGAGAUACGGCCCAGACUCCUACGGGAGGCAGCAGGGGGAAAUAUGGCACAAUGGGCGGAAGCCGGAGGAAGAAACGCCGCGUGCGGGAUGACGGCCUUCGGGUUGAAAACCGCUUCAGCCUGUGACGAAGCGGGAGUGACGGUAACGGGAGAAGAAGCACCGGCUAACUACGUG